This 142-nucleotide small nucleolar RNA is filed under the name Drosophila ananassae. RNAcentral's name for it is "snoRNA:GF26187". Lineage: Eukaryota; Metazoa; Arthropoda; Insecta; Diptera; Drosophilidae. The record is from RNAcentral.
UGUCGCCUAUUUGCCUCCCAAGCACCGUUUAGUUUUCCUGGUGGCUUGGGACUUCCUAUAUCGGCGGCAGAUAAAUCCAACUUCUCGAGCAAUAUCUUCGUUGUGGUAUUUCUGCUGCAACGGAGGUCUCGAAAGUUGUACA